RNAcentral lists this ribosomal RNA (253 nucleotides) under uncultured bacterium. RNAcentral describes it as "partial 16S ribosomal RNA". It matches the Rfam family "Bacterial small subunit ribosomal RNA", at positions 524 to 776 of the family's 1533-position model. The record is from RNAcentral.
UACGAAGGACCCGAGCGUUAUCCGGAUUUAUUGGGUUUAAAGGGUGCGUAGGCGGAAUAGUAAGUCAGUGGUGAAAGCCUGUUGCUUAACAACAGAACUGCCAUCGAUACUGCUAAUCUUGAGUACAUAUGAUGUGGGCGGAAUGUGCCAUGUAGCGGUGAAAUGCUUAGAUAUGGCACAGAACACCGAUUGCGAAGGCAGCUCACAAGACUGUUACUGACGCUGAGGCACGAAAGCGUGGGGAUCAAACAGG